AAUUCCGGUUGAUCCCGCCGGAGGUGACUGCUAUCCGAAUCCGGCUUAGCCAUGCAAGUCGAGGGUUAAACCUCGGCGCACUGCUCAGUAACACGUAGUCAAUCUGCCCUGAGGUUCGGUCUAAUCCCGCGAAAGUGGGGCCGAGGACCGGGUAGGCGACAGACGCUGGAAUGCCCUGUCGCUGAACUCAGGAUUAGACUGCGGCCUUUCAGAUAGUCGCCAGAGUAACGUCCUGGCGAGUCUAUAACGGGUACGGGCCUUGAGAGAGGGAGCCCGGAGUUGGAUUCUGAGACAAGAAUCCAGGUCCUACGGGACGCAGCAGGCGCGAAAAUUCCACAAUGCGCGCAAGCG
Molecule: ribosomal RNA, 351 nt
Filed under: Candidatus Aenigmatarchaeota archaeon
Lineage: Archaea; Nanobdellati; Candidatus Aenigmatarchaeota
Description: bacterial SSU rRNA
Rfam family: Archaeal small subunit ribosomal RNA
Source: RNAcentral